This 216-nucleotide ribosomal RNA is filed under the name Glomeromycotina sp. RNAcentral describes it as "partial small subunit ribosomal RNA". The stretch from base 40 to 216 matches the Rfam family "Eukaryotic small subunit ribosomal RNA", at positions 686 to 864 of the family's 1831-position model. Lineage: Eukaryota; Fungi; Glomeromycota. The record is from RNAcentral.
GGGUCAGUAGGUUGGUCGUGCCACCGGUACGUACUGGUCUCACUGAUUCCUCCUUCCUGAAGAACCGUAAUGCCAUUAAUUUGGUGUUGCGGGGAAACAGGACUGUUACUUUGAAAAAAUUAGGGUGUUUAAAGCAAGCUAACGCUUGAAUACAUUAGCAUGGAAUAAUGAAAUAGGACGAUCGAUCCUAUUUUGUUGGUCUCUAGGAUUGACGUA